Molecule: ribosomal RNA, 494 nt
Filed under: Listeria monocytogenes
Lineage: Bacteria; Bacillati; Bacillota; Bacilli; Caryophanales; Listeriaceae
Description: partial 23S ribosomal RNA
Rfam family: Bacterial large subunit ribosomal RNA
Source: RNAcentral
GAAUACAUAGCGCAGUCGAGGUAGACGCAGAGAACUGAAACAUCUAAGUACCUGCAGGAAGAGAAAGAAAAUUCGAUUCCCUGAGUAGCGGCGAGCGAAACGGGAAAAGCCCAAACCAACAAGCUUGCUUGUUGGGGUUGUAGGACUCCGAUAUGGUAGUCUAUUCAGAUAGUCGAAAUACUUGGAAAAGUAUGUCAAAGAGGGUAAAAACCCCGUAGGCGAAAUUUGGAUAACACCUAGGAGGAUCCUGAGUACGGCGGAACACGAGGAAUUCCGUCGGAAUCCGGGAGGACCAUCUCCCAAGGCUAAAUACUCCCUAGUGACCGAUAGUGAACCAGUACCGUGAGGGAAAGGUGAAAAGCACCCCGGAAGGGGAGUGAAAUAGAUCCUGAAACCGUGUGCCUACAACAAGUUAGAGCCCGUUAAUGGGUGAUAGCGUGCCUUUUGUAGAAUGAACCGGCGAGUUACGAUAGCAUGCGAGGUUAAGUUGAAGA